AUUGAACGCUGGCGGCAUGCCUUACACAUGCAAGUCGAGCGGCAGCGCGGGGGCAACCCUGGCGGCGAGCGGCGGACGGGUGAGUAAUACAUCGGAACGUGUCCUUUUGUGGGGGAUAACCAGUCGAAAGACUGGCUAAUACCGCAUGAGAUCUCACGAUGAAAGCGGGGGACCCUGGGGGUAACUUCGGGGCCUCGCGCGAUUGGAGCGGCCGAUGUCGGAUUAGCUAGUUGGCGGGGUAAGAGCCCACCAAGGCUACGAUCCGUAGCUGGUUUGAGAGAACGACCAGCCACACUGGGACUGAGACACGGCCCAGACUCCUACGGGAGGCAGCAGUGGGGAAUUUUGGACAAUGGGGGCAACCCUGAUCCAGCCAUGCCGCGUGUGUGAAGAAGGCCUUCGGGUUGUAAAGCACUUUCGGCCGGAACGAAAUCGCGCGGAUUAAUAACCCGCGUGGAUGACGGUACCGGAAGAAGAAGCACCGGCUAACUACGUGCCAGCCGCCGCAGUAA
This 512-nucleotide ribosomal RNA is filed under the name uncultured bacterium. RNAcentral describes it as "partial 16S ribosomal RNA". It matches the Rfam family "Bacterial small subunit ribosomal RNA", at positions 29 to 523 of the family's 1533-position model. The record is from RNAcentral.